Long non-coding RNA from Bombyx mori (domestic silkworm), 2587 nucleotides. RefSeq lists it as uncharacterized. NCBI's taxonomy places the organism in Eukaryota, Metazoa, Arthropoda, Insecta, Lepidoptera, Bombycidae. The transcript is spliced from 6 exons. The record is from RefSeq and is a predicted model, not a curated record.
UUUAUUUGAUAUUUGCAUAUUAUACAGGAGAAAAGAAAUGUGAUUGUUCAAAAACAAAAGAUAAAAUAUAAAAAAGUUUUUAUAAUUAAUUUAUUGAUGUUAAUUUUGCGAUAAAGAUGCGGUCUACUAACUACAAUGGCUUCUUAUACUAGACAACGAUCUUAAUUAAUCGUCCCUUGCUGUAGUUUGGAUUUAUUUUCAAGACAUUUGAGACAACAUCAAUAGAGGCCCGACAUUUUAAUAUUAAUAAAAAGCGGCGCGCCGGUCUCUUUUCAAUUAAUCCCAUGACGCUGUCUGAUUACUACGAGUACCAAUCAGGCUCUGUAUUCUAGCGUUACAAUUACAUGCUACUGGACAAAAUUGUGAAUAUUUCCCGUUCUGGCUAUUUCCAGUGUGCGUACCUACUCUCAAAAGUCUGUCGCUUAGACAAAAGGAACCUUGCUAAAAUAUAUCCUGUGUUAAUAAAGAUAGAAACUAUGUAUGUGCGAAAUUUAAUCUGUUAAUCAUAUAUACACAGACUUUUAUUUUUAUAACAUUAUAUCCUAUAGAAGUACCUACAGCUUAAAAACUAUUACUGAUCCGAAGUAAAAUGGCAGUGACGCAUUGUUGAUCAUACAGUACCAUUCUACCAACACGUCUUCUACUACAUAUAUGUAUACUGUACAUCCUGUGCUACAAGGUCAUAUUUGCAAUUAAAAAUUAUAAAAUUUUCGAAAAAAUCACAAAUAACAUUUAAUUUAUACUACAUUAAGCAUAUUUCCCAGAGCCUCUGAACAUAACAAGUAUGAUUUCAUCUGUAGCCCUAGCACGAAUAACUUGCGAAAAUGUAUUCGUAACGUUAUCGAAUUAUAUUUGUAUGAGAUUCGUACAGCGCCCCUAUCGUACGUAAAAGGAACUAAUUUUGGUAGCACGAACAAAUUUCGUAUCGCAAUCGUAUCGUCACGUAAACGAUACUUGAACCAUAUAAACAAUGAAACGCUAUAAUUGCGAGCACGAACACUGUUUUGACGUACGGUAAUGUAAAUUUCGAAGGCUGGGUAUCGAGUAUUGUCGAAACUUUAUUCACUUAAGAUUUGUUGGUGAGAAAGGUUUCGUAACGUGUUUAAAUAUAAUUUUAUCCAUGUUUUUAUUUUAUAAGUAAUUUUUUAUAAAUAAUAGUGUUUUCUUAUCACUUUAGUUAGUUCUUAUAUACAAUUAAUUUUAAUAAAUUGCGCAAAAUGCAAAGACCACCGUUGUACGAGCGUAGUCCCUUAUAUUAUUUUGUUGCUGCAAGUUUACUUGAAAAUGAAGAAUAUUCAUCAAGAGAAGUUAGGUAAGUACCUACUUCAGUCAAUCGUGUUAUAUUCUAAUAUUUUUUAAACAUAAAUUAAUUGAGAAUCAAUUGGUUUUAUUACUUAUAGAGAAAUUACACGCAGAGUUGCUCUGAGAAAGAAAAAUAAUCCUGUGGACAUAAAUGACGCGGAAUUCAAAAAUAGAUACCGGUUGAAUAAAGAAUCAUUCAAGUUUCUUUGUAAUCAACUUAAGCAAAAAACAUCUUUAAAAGGAAGUUCCAGGAUAAGUUUGGAACUUAAGGUUCUUUGUGCGCUAUCUUUUUAUGCCACUGGAUCUUACCAACGCUUAGUGGGAAUGGCUAAAUAUUUGGGCCAAACGACUGUUAGCAAAUGUGUGAAGGAAGUAACAGAUGCUCUUGUAACUCCUGCAAUUUUAAAUACUUUCAUAAAAUUUCCUUAUGCCAGAGCUGAUAGAGAUGUAAUAAAAACAAAUUUUUUGCAAAGUAUGGUUUCCCAGGAGUUAUAGGAUGCAUUGAUGGAUGUCAUUUCCAUAUUUUCACACCCAAAAAAGAAGUCGAACAUUUAUAUUAUAGUAGAAAGCAUUUCCAUUCAUUAAAUGUGCAAAUGAUUUGUGAUAGUGAUUGUCGUAUUUUAAACGUAAAUGCGAAAUACGGAGGAGCCACCCACGACGCUUUUAUUUGGGAAAAUAGCGUGGUCAACAAUUAUAUGCAGAGCUUACAUCGAAAUAACGAGCAAGUGUGGUUGUUAGGUGAUUCUGGUUAUCCACAGCGACCCUGGUUGAUGACACCAAUUUUAGAUGCUGUUGAGGGAACUCCAGCUUAUAAAUAUACAGCAGUUCAUGGAAGGACCAGGGUAGCUAUUGAAAAUACUUUUGGGCGACUAAAAAACCGAUGGCGUUGUUUGUGUAAGGAUCGCACAUUACACUAUGCUCCAGUAAAAUGUGCAAAAAUCAUAACAGCAUGCUGUGUAUUGCACAACUUAGCCAUUGAGUUCAACGUACCUGAACCAGAACCAGCAGAGAUUGAAAACCCCAAUUUGGCUAUGACAAUAUCUGAACAUAUUUUUCAAGAGAAUACUACAGGAGAUGGGUUAAUUAGGGGUAGAGCUAUAAGAAGUAUUUUAGCAGAUAAAAUUAAUAGACUUCAUACAUAAUUUUACUUUUGUUUAUUAAUUUUGUAAAAAAUAUAGUAAUUGGUAAUUAUAAUUAAGUAAUUGGUAAAAUAAAAUAAAAUAAAAUAAUUAAGUAAUUGGUAAAAUAAAAGUAGUUGGUAAAAAAAUAUAGUAAUUAAGCUUAA